UGCAAUAUAAAAAUUCAUGUGACAUCCCUCGUAUCUCACCUACCACGUCUUGAUGUUAAAGGGUUUAUACUGGGAGGGUGCAACUUAAACAUCACUGGCUAAUGAGGUACUGAUCAAUUCCCUUGAGGUUUUGAACUUUCUCAUAAAACAAUCUGGUUGACCAUAAAAAAUGAAAACUCAGAGUGUGUUCUUUAUGAUAAGGUUCUUUUAUUAGGUAUCUCUCUAACUUUUUUCCAUUGUUUUCUUUUGUUUCUUAGGUAUCACCACAUCCUGGGCUAAAGGAAAUAACAGAAGCCUGUUCCCCAAGCUACUGAUCAACGUUUUCUCCAGUGGAGAGCUGAUCUGCCUUGCUAAAAGCUGGCUGCAACUAUGGACUACAAAUCUAAUCUAUGGAAGCAGGAGGAGAAAGUGAUGAGCAACCCUGCAGAGUACUGCUGCUGUGAUUCUGGACUGCAAAUCCUAGAGACCUUGGGAGAAACAGAAAGAGGAAGUAGACACACAGCCCAUGCUGGCUACAUGCCAAACAGCCAUGUUCUAGUGCCACCUGGCUUCUGGUCUGAUCCACUGCAGACCAACAUGGCUACCAAGCACACCCCUGAAAUAUGGAAGAUGCUGAAUUUAAGCCAAUUUUGGAUUUUAAACUUCAUUGCAGAACAACAAGAAAGAUGUUUUACCGCCCUGCCUGCCAUCUGACACCUCCAGGGAAGGAAUUCUACCUGAUCAACACAUCAAAGAGCUACUCAACACAGCUCACAUACUAUCAUGUUCCCAGAGGGAUAGCCUUCCAUGUUCAGUUCCCUGUGUGCAAAAAUGAAGUUUAUUUCCUACCUAUGGGGCCUUUUUACCAUCCUGAAACAUCUAUAUUUUUCCCAGAGCCUGAAGAAGGGACUUUGAUCCCAAAAGCUUGCAGAAAAGGACAAUUUUCUUGUGAUUUCCCAGUCUAAUAAAAAGUAUCAUU
This is a long non-coding RNA of Alligator mississippiensis (American alligator), 958 nucleotides long. RefSeq lists it as uncharacterized. NCBI's taxonomy places the organism in Eukaryota, Metazoa, Chordata, Crocodylia, Alligatoridae. The record is from RefSeq and is a predicted model, not a curated record. The transcript has 3 exons.